AGCUUCCUGAACAGCUAGUCAAGCCACACAGCACGGCAAGAAGAAUAACGCUCAACAUAUGUGCGAUUACUGCCCCCUUGCGGCUCGAUUGUGUAUUGCACACAGACAUAAACUGCUCCUUGCAUGGCGUCACCCUGAAUGCUCCACUCAUUCAAGAAGUUACCUCAGCCCACUUAUCUUACGUUCAGCUCAUUUAAUUCACUUUCCCCCCUUUCCCCCCCUCGAUUGAUUUUUAUUGUUGGCCACUCAGACUUGGCGAUUGGUCUCUAUGACAACAAAUGGAGUGCGCAGAGAAAACUGGGCAGAAUAGUUUGAUGAUCUGUUCCCAGUGUUAACAGGCAGGAUAGUACGUCGGACGUGGUCGUGUCUGCUGCUACAUUUUCAUUUUCUCUGGAAAGGUGAACGAAAUGGAAAGGAGUUGUUUCUUUGUAGCACUAUGCUGAGAUCCAGAGGCGCUUCCCCACCAUGCUGGAAAUGGGCUCCUGUUCGGUUAGCUCUCAGUCUCUGACAGGGAACCACAAUGCUAGAAGCCCAGGAGGGCCUGACUGUCCAGUGGGUGGUUUGGCUGUGGGGGCAAUGUGUGGUAGCAGCACCCCCCGGCACCACAUCAUCCGCCCAUCCCCAUCAGACUGCGAGAGCUGGCAGAAGCAUCGCACAGGACUGGCUGGAGGGUCAAAGCUGUAUUCUGAAUCCCACUCCCUCCUGGAGCCCGAAAGCCUCUCAGCCAGCUAUGACACCCUCUACCUCUCACACGUGUCUGGCCACGCUCCUCCUUUACACCCAAACCGUCUCGGUCUCACCCUUGAUGUGGUUUCCACUUUUGAUGUUGGAGUCGGGAUGCUUGGGGUGGAUGGAGAUAUGGCAGUCAGUCCUAAUGUGAUCAAGAGACGGCGGGGCGGACUGAUUGAGCAGAGAGACAUUGUUAAAGCCCACCAAGCUCAUAAGAUUCAGAGCACACCUCAGGCGCGACGCAAGGAGUGGGAGAAGGAGCCGUCACCCUUCCCUCUAAUCAUCCCUGCCGCUAACACCUAAUUACCAUAAUUCACCCCUCACCUCUCAGCUAAGAAAGCUGUGACUGCUGCUGCUGCUGCACACUCCGGCAGAAACAAUGUAAUGGUAUCACUCGCUUAGCGGUGCACAGAGGAAGUGGCAGAAGUAGCAUUUGUAUCAGACAAUUAGUUGUUAGAAAUAAAUAAAUUAAGAAAACAGCUACGCUCCAUUUUUUUCUUUUCUUCCCCAAAUAGUUUUGGCUCAUCACUCCAAUGGACUGUUAUGGGGAAAUUCGAGGCGUCUUUUCAGCUUAAAUGUCAGAUAUUUUUGCCUCUUGUGCGUUCUAUUUUUAUCGCCUAUAAUGUGUUGGAGCACUAAUGAGUUGGAAGCCACACACCAUUGAUCACUGCCUUCGUCAUAGCACCAUUACAAAAGCCCCAUCAGUGCCGGUGUCGUGGUUAACUCUCCCCUGUGGUUCCUCUUUUCUUUGUCUUCUGUUUCCAUCAUCAUCCGUUUACUCUCUCUCUCUGUGUCAGUUAGAAAAAUGAUGUGAUGAUAGCCGGUGGAUUUCAUUUUUGCGUUAACUCCCUCAAAUGUACCGUUAGAUAACACCUUUUAAGGCUGAAGUUAUACAUAUGAGUUCAUAUAUUUUUGGGCAGGGGCUGUUUAGAGUCUCAUUACCAGCCCAUCAAAGACGAGGCUGUUUUUAUUUGAACAUUUGUCCCUAUAGUUACAAAUCUCCAAACUACUAAUAUGUCAAUCCUCAUCUUGGUACUUUGACAUUCUUGCCUGUCUGUGGCUAUUUUAAAGCUCUAAAAAGCAGUCAACAAAUAUCCAUUUUUCAUUAAUUUCCUAAAUCCAGUGCAUACUGUAG
This is a long non-coding RNA of Oreochromis niloticus (Nile tilapia), 1864 nucleotides long. Lineage: Eukaryota; Metazoa; Chordata; Actinopteri; Cichliformes; Cichlidae. The record is from Ensembl.